Molecule: long non-coding RNA, 950 nt
Organism: Rattus norvegicus (Norway rat)
Lineage: Eukaryota; Metazoa; Chordata; Mammalia; Rodentia; Muridae
Exons: 3
Source: RefSeq, marked validated
ACUAGAGUGGUCAGGGUUAGAGUCCAGGUUCGAACAAUCCAGAUUCAUCUACCAGUCCUUAAUGGACCAACUAAACACAUAAGUAAGAACGGAAGGUAGAAAAGAUGAAUCAAUUUGUGAUAUCACUGAGAAGUUGAGCAAAGGGGUCCAGUGACUUGGCCCCACCCAGGCCUAUGACUCAGUUCCUAACAUGAAGUUUAAAUAAAAAGCCAGAGCUCCCUGGAAUAAUUGUCCUUGGUGGGACGAUCCUCAUGUGCCUGGUGUGCCUGCUUGCUAGUAGGAGGAAUAAUACCUGUUCAUUCUCCUACCGGAACACCAAUAAUGUAUAUGUGCAUCGGCCCCAAGUCAUCAUUGAAAACACAGUGUUCUCAAGUGGACAAGACCUUCCACUGGAUUGUUCAAGAGAGAUCCAGCCUUACAAGAAGGAAAACUAGAGACCAAAAUAAAUCCUCUUCCUUCUCGAUGGGUAUCAUCUGCUUCUUCCUUUCCUAAAAGACUGGGGGAGCUAUCUCUCAUAGUGAGUACAUUCAGUGGUGCAAGUGGCUCUCAGAAGUAGACUCAUGCCUUGCUUGUAUUAGGACUUUACUGAACCCAAAUACCACAAAAUUCUUUAGCUCAGCCCUGCUAGCCUUAACUGAGAAAGUGGAAAUUUAAGAUGGGAUCCGUGCAUUGUAUGGUGUCAACACCCAUGGCAUGGUUUAGUAUCAUACCAUAUGCUUGUUUUUCUGCCUGUGAACUUGUGAGAUAGAAAAACAGCUACCUAGUCAUCCAAUUUUACUGUUUUUAUUUUUAUUGGAUGUUUUGUGUACUUACAUUUCAAAUGUUAUCCACUUUCUCCCCUCUCCCAACCCCUUCCCCUGCUUCUCUGAAGAUGUUCCCACUCCCACCCAUCCACUCUCAAUGUUACUUGUUAUCAUUCAUUCACAUAAUAAAUUUGGACUGUGCAGUUG